CUCAACACCAGGAACAGUCACUGCCAAGAAAGUGUAUAUUACUAAUGGUCUGUAGAACUUGCCUAAACAAGGAUCUCUAGAAUCUCAGGUUUUCCCAGUUACUAGGACUCAGCAUACUCGGGCACAUUCCUUCCUGCUCCUCAAGGAAUAUCUUCCAGAAUAUAGCUCUCUGCUUCCUCACUGCCUAGCCAUGUUCUCAAUCACCAUUCUGCUGCUUGGAAUGCUCUUCACAGUGAGAGGAACCAGAGCCCAGUCAGUGACCCAGCCUGACGACUACAUCACUGUCUCUGAAGGAGACCCUCUUGAGCUGAGGUGCAACUAUUCCUAUGGUGCAACUCCUUCUCUCUUCUGGUACAUUCAGUACCCCAGCCAAGGCCUCCAGCUGCUCCUCAAGUACACUUCAGGGUCCACCCUGGUUAAAGGCAUCAAAGGUUUCCAAGCUGAAUUUAAGAAGAGUGAAACCUCCUUCCACCUGAAGAAACCAUCAGCGCAUUGGAGCGACUCGGCUGAGUACUUCUGUGCUCUGAGUGACACAGUGACUGAGACUGCAGGGGGAGCUGAACACAAACCUGCUGAGACACAAGUUUUCAGAUACUCAAGGACACAGCCUGAUCUGUUUUUAGCAAGGUCUCUCAUGUGA
This is a non-coding RNA of Diceros bicornis minor, 640 nucleotides long. The record is from the annotation of a RefSeq genome assembly. NCBI's taxonomy places the organism in Eukaryota, Metazoa, Chordata, Mammalia, Perissodactyla, Rhinocerotidae.